Molecule: long non-coding RNA, 299 nt
Organism: Mytilus californianus (California mussel)
Lineage: Eukaryota; Metazoa; Mollusca; Bivalvia; Mytilida; Mytilidae
Exons: 3
Source: RefSeq, a predicted model, not a curated record
UGACUGUCUGAUUAGACCAGGUGGACACUCUAAACAUACAAGACGUUGACUGAUAUAGCCUUAUAGGUAGACAACAACUAUGAAUCUGACUGUUUUACUUCUUCUUUUACUGCCUAUGUACUGCAAAUCACAAAACUGUACUUAUAUGGUUACAGUUCCGAAGGUCACAAGGAUAGGGAUAGACCUCGAUGUAGCUAUCACAAUUUUUGUGAAGGUACCACAAAAGUUAAACAUUGUUACCCUCUUUAAAACUAGCAGUUCAAAAACUGUUGCAGGAGCAUCCAGAAUUUUCCGCGGAA